UACGUAGGGGGCAAGCGUUGUCCGGAUUUAUUGGGCGUAAAGAGCUCGUAGGCGGCUUGGCAAGUCGGGUGUGAAAACUCCAGGCUCAACCUGGAGAUGCCACUCGAGACUGCUAUGGCUAGAGUCCGGUAGGGGACCACGGAAUUCCUGGUGUAGCGGUGAAAUGCGCAGAUAUCAGGAGGAACACCGGUGGCGAAGGCGGGUCUCUGGGCCGAUACUGACACUGAGGAGCGAAAGCGUGGGGAGCGAACAGG
This 254-nucleotide ribosomal RNA is filed under the name uncultured bacterium. Its description in RNAcentral is "partial 16S ribosomal RNA". It matches the Rfam family "Bacterial small subunit ribosomal RNA", at positions 524 to 776 of the family's 1533-position model. The record is from RNAcentral.